RNAcentral lists this long non-coding RNA (600 nucleotides) under Heterocephalus glaber (naked mole-rat). RNAcentral's name for it is "lncRNA (ENSHGLG00100051971.1)". Lineage: Eukaryota; Metazoa; Chordata; Mammalia; Rodentia; Bathyergidae. The record is from RNAcentral.
CUGGGAAAUGAACUAGAGUUCGAGAUAUAGCUGUCCUUCCUUGGAUUUUGGUUUUACAUUAGUAUUUUAUAGGAGGGACAUAAAAAGAACCAAAUUUUCAUCAGGUCCUUGAGACAUUUCUAUACAAGAUUUCUCUGAGAAGGAGCCCAGGUGCUGUUCAACCUGAGCCAAUUUGUUCAUGGGAAAAAGGGACACGGACAUGUACUAAUCCAUCCACUGUCACUGGUCCAAAAGGGAAGUGGAAGAGGGGUGGGGAGAGGAGGCUGCUAAUUUAAGCCUGAAGAUUUAAAACGAUGAGCCCUAGAAGAUAAACACAGAGGAAUCCUCCCAGGGAUUUAGCUCAGUGCCACCGCACCUGCCUGGCAAGCACAAAGUCCUGAGUUCGAUCCCUGGUACCAAAAAAAAAAAAAAUCCUGAAGGAAGUUGGACCUCUGUGGCUCCAGUUUGCAGCUAUGGGCUCAAGUGAAUGACCAACUGGUGUGCAUCCCAGGAUCAGCCUCAUGAGCCAGAGGGAAAUCAUCCUAUCAGAGACUGAAGGGACACCUCUGCCAGCAAGGUUGGUUUUAGCAGGAAUGGUUGUGGCUCUCUGGCUCCAGUGAC